AGUGAACGCUGGCGGUAGGCCUAACACAUGCAAGUCGAACGGCAGCACAGUAAGAGCUUGCUCUUACGGGUGGCGAGUGGCGGACGGGUGAGGAAUACAUCGGAAUCUACUUUUUCGUGGGGGAUAACGUAGGGAAACUUACGCUAAUACCGCAUACGACCAACGGGUGAAAGCAGGGGAUCUUCGGACCUUGCGCGGUUGAAUGAGCCGAUGUCGGAUUAGCUAGUUGGCGGGGUAAAGGCCCACCAAGGCGACGAUCCGUAGCUGGUCUGAGAGGAUGAUCAGCCACACUGGAACUGAGACACGGUCCAGACUCCUACGGGAGGCAGCAGUGGGGAAUAUUGGACAAAGGGCGCAAGCCUGAUCCAGCCAUACCGCGUGGGUGAAGAAGGCCUUCGGGUUGUAAAGCCCUUUUGUUGGGAAAGAAAAGCAGCAGGUUAAUACCCCGCUGUCCUGACGGUACCCAAAGAAUAAGCACCGGCUAACUUCGUG
RNAcentral lists this ribosomal RNA (492 nucleotides) under uncultured bacterium. RNAcentral describes it as "partial 16S ribosomal RNA". It matches the Rfam family "Bacterial small subunit ribosomal RNA", at positions 29 to 507 of the family's 1533-position model. The record is from RNAcentral.